This 716-nucleotide ribosomal RNA is filed under the name Kocuria oceani. RNAcentral describes it as "bacterial SSU rRNA". It matches the Rfam family "Bacterial small subunit ribosomal RNA", at positions 94 to 821 of the family's 1533-position model. Lineage: Bacteria; Bacillati; Actinomycetota; Actinomycetes; Micrococcales; Micrococcaceae. The record is from RNAcentral.
AGUGGCGAACGGGUGAGUAAUACGUGAGUAACCUGCCCUGGACUCUGGGAUAAGCCUGGGAAACUGGGUCUAAUACUGGAUACGACUUCCUGCCGCAUGGUGGGGGGUGGAAAGGGUUUCUGGUUGUGGAUGGGCUCACGGCCUAUCAGCUGGUUGGUGGGGUAAUGGCUCACCAAGGCGACGACGGGUAGCCGGCCUGAGAGGGUGACCGGCCACACUGGGACUGAGACACGGCCCAGACUCCUACGGGAGGCAGCAGUGGGGAAUAUUGCACAAUGGGCGCAAGCCUGAUGCAGCGACGCCGCGUGAGGGAUGACGGCCUUCGGGUUGUAAACCUCUUUCAGUGGGGAAGAACCUUUCGGGGUGACGGUACCUGCAGAAGAAGCGCCGGCUAACUACGUGCCAGCAGCCGCGGUAAUACGUAGGGCGCAAGCGUUGUCCGGAAUUAUUGGGCGUAAAGAGCUCGUAGCCGGUUUGUCGCGUCUGCUGUGAAAGCCCGGGGCUCAACCUCCGGUCUGCAGUGGGUACGGGCAGACUAGAGUGCAGUAGGGGAGACUGGAAUUCCUGGUGUAGCGGUGAAAUGCGCAGAUAUCAGGAGGAACACCGAUGGCGAAGGCAGGUCUCUGGGCUGUUACUGACGCUGAGGACCGAAAGCAUGGGGAGCGAACAGGAUUAGAUACCCUGGUAGUCCAUGCCGUAAACGUUGGGCACUAGGU